GAUGAACGCUGGCGGUCUGCUUAACACAUGCAAGUCGAACGGAACUCUUCGGAGUUUAGUGGCGGACGGGUGAGUAACGCGUGAGAAUCUGCCUUCAGGUUGGGGACAACAGUUGGAAACGACUGCUAAUACCCAAUGUGCCGAGAGGUGAAAGCUUUAGUGCCUGAAGAUGAGCUCGCGUCUGAUUAGCUAGUUGGUGAGGUAAUGGCUUACCAAGGCGACGAUCAGUAGUUGGUCUGAGAGGAUGAUCAGCCACACUGGGACUGAGACACGGCCCAGACUCCUACGGGAGGCAGCAGUGGGGAAUUUUCCGCAAUGGGCGCAAGCCUGACGGAGCAAGACCGCGUGAGGGAGGAAGGCUCUUGGGUUGUAAACCUCUUUUAUCAGGGAAGAAGAUCUGACGGUACCUGAUGAAUCAGCAUCGGCUAACUCCGUGCCAGCAGCCGCGGUAAUACGGAGGAUGCAAGCGUUAUCCGGAUUUAUUGGGCGUAAAGCGUCCGCAGGUGGUUUUUCAAGUCUGCUGUUAAAGCGCAGAGCUUAACUCUGUAACGGCGGUGGAAACUGAGAGACUAGAGUAUGGUAGGGGUAGCGGGAAUUCCCAGUGUAGCGGUGAAAUGCGUAGAUAUUGGGAAGAACACCAGCGGCGAAAGCGCGCUACUGGGCCAUAACUGACACUCAUGGACGAAAGCUAGGGGAGCGAAAGGGAUUAGAUACCCCUGUAGUCCUAGCUGUAAACGAUGGGUACUAGGUGUUGACCG
Molecule: ribosomal RNA, 758 nt
Filed under: uncultured cyanobacterium
Lineage: Bacteria; Bacillati; Cyanobacteriota
Description: bacterial SSU rRNA
Rfam family: Bacterial small subunit ribosomal RNA
Source: RNAcentral